RNAcentral lists this ribosomal RNA (253 nucleotides) under uncultured bacterium. RNAcentral's name for it is "partial 16S ribosomal RNA". It matches the Rfam family "Bacterial small subunit ribosomal RNA", at positions 524 to 776 of the family's 1533-position model. The record is from RNAcentral.
UACGUAGGGUGCAGGCGUUAAUCGGAAUUACUGGGCGUAAAGCGUGCGCAGGCGGUUUGCUAAGACAGGUGUGAAAUCCCCGGGCUUAACCUGGGAACUGCGCUUGUAACUGGCAAGCUAGAGUGUGGCAGAGGGGGGUGGAAUUCCACGUGUAGCAGUGAAAUGCGUAGAGAUGUGGAGGAACAUCCGUGGCGAAGGCGGCUCUCUGGGACGGUACUGACGCUGAGACGCGAAAGCGUGGGGAGCGAACAGG